This 444-nucleotide ribosomal RNA is filed under the name uncultured Caulobacteraceae bacterium. Its description in RNAcentral is "bacterial SSU rRNA". It matches the Rfam family "Bacterial small subunit ribosomal RNA", at positions 335 to 798 of the family's 1533-position model. Lineage: Bacteria; Pseudomonadati; Pseudomonadota; Alphaproteobacteria; Caulobacterales; Caulobacteraceae. The record is from RNAcentral.
GCCCUACGGGAGGCAGCAGUGGGGAAUCUUGCGCAAUGGGCGAAAGCCUGACGCAGCCAUGCCGCGUGGAUGAUGAAGGUCUUAGGAUUGUAAAAUCCUUUCAGCGGGGACGAUAAUGACGGUACCCGCAGAAGAAGCCCCGGCUAACUUCGUGCCAGCAGCCGCGGUAAUACGAAGGGGGCUAGCGUUGCUCGGAUUUACUGGGCGUAAAGGGCGCGUAGGCGGACAGUUAAGUCGGGGGUGAAAGCCCGGGGCUCAACCUCGGGAUUGCCUUCGAUACUGGUUGUCUUGAGUACGGGGGAGGUGUGUGGAACUCCGGGUGUAGAGGUGAAAUUCGUAGAUAUUCGGAAGAACACCAGUGGCGAAGGCGACACACUGGCCCGUUACUGACGCUGAGGCGCGAAAGCGUGGGGAGCAAACAGGAUUAGAUACCCCGGUAGUCAC